RNAcentral lists this ribosomal RNA (447 nucleotides) under uncultured bacterium. Its description in RNAcentral is "bacterial SSU rRNA". It matches the Rfam family "Bacterial small subunit ribosomal RNA", at positions 355 to 825 of the family's 1533-position model. The record is from RNAcentral.
UCGGGAAUUUUGGGCAAUGGGGGAAACCCUGACCCAGCAACGCCGCGUGAAGGAUGAAGUAUUUCGGUAUGUAAACUUCGGAAGAAUAGGAAGAAUAAAUGACGGUACUAUUUAUAAGGUCCGGCUAACUACGUGCCAGCAGCCGCGGUAAUACGUAGGGACCAAGCGUUGUUCGGAUUUACUGGGCGUAAAGGGCGCGUAGGCGGCAUGACAAGUCACUUGUGAAAUCUCUGGGCUUAACCCAGAACGGCCAAGUGAUACUGUCGCGCUAGAGUGCAGAAGGGGCAAUCGGAAUUCUUGGUGUAGCGGUGAAAUGCGUAGAUAUCAAGAGGAACACCUGAGGUGAAGACGGGUUGCUGGGCUGACACUGACGCUGAGGCGCGAAAGCCAGGGGAGCAAACGGGAUUAGAUACCCACGUAGUCCCUGAGCGGGCUGGCAAGGCGCAU